Molecule: ribosomal RNA, 88 nt
Filed under: Clostridiales bacterium
Lineage: Bacteria; Bacillati; Bacillota; Clostridia; Eubacteriales
Source: RNAcentral
UGUUCCCAUUCCGAACACAGAAGUUAAGCUCAGCUGUGCCGAAAAUACUUGGCGGGAAGCUGCCUGGAAAGAUAGGUCGUCGCCGACA